Molecule: ribosomal RNA, 1350 nt
Filed under: metagenome
Description: bacterial LSU rRNA
Rfam family: Bacterial large subunit ribosomal RNA
Source: RNAcentral
UGAAUACGAGAUGCUACGGCGUCGAAGCAGUCUAUGUCAUACUUCCAAGAAAAGCUUGCACUGUCAUAAACAAAUAAUGCCUGUACCAUAACCGACACAGGUGGGUAGGUAGAGUAUACUAAGGGGCGCGAGAUAACUCUCUCUAAGGAACUCGGCAAAAUGACUCCGUAACUUCGGGAGAAGGAGUGCCUUAUUUAUAAGGUUGCAAUAACAAGAUCCAAGCAACUGUUUACCAAAAACACAGGUCUCCGCUAAGUCGUAAGACGAUGUAUGGGGGCUGACGCCUGCCCAGUGCCAGAAGGUUAAAGAAGUUGGUUAGCAUCCGCGAAGCUGAUAACUGAAGCCCUGGUGAACGGCGGCCGUAACAAUAACGGUCCUAAGGUAGCGAAAUUCCUUGUCGGGUAAGUUCCGACCCGCACGAAAGGCGUAAUGAUUUGGAUACUGUCUCGGAGAGGGGCUCGGUGAAAUAGACUUGUCUGUGAAGAUGCGGACUACCUGCACCAGGACAGAAAGACCCUAUGAAGCUUUACUGUAACCUGAAAUUGAAAUUGGACUUUACUUGCGCAGUAUAGGUGGGAGGCGUUGAGAAUAUUCUUGCGGGAUUAUUGGAGCCAUCAGUGAGAUACCACUCUUGUAAUGUUAGAUUUCUAACUUUGUAUCAUUAUCUGGUCAAAGAACAGUUUCAGGCGGGCAGUUUGACUGGGGCGGUCGCCUCCUAAACGGUAACGGAGGCGCACAAAGGUUUCCUCUGAACGGGUAGAAAUCGUAUCUAGAGUGUAAAGGCAUAAGGAAGCUUGACUGUGAGACCUACAAGUCGAGCAGGGACGAAAGUCGGUCUUAGUGAUCUGACGGUGCUGAGUGGAAAGGCCGUCACUCAACGGAUAAAAGUUACUCUAAGGAUAACAGGCUGAUCUCCCCCAAGAGUUCACAUCGACGGGGAGGUUUGGCACCUCGAUGUCGGCUCAUCGCAUCCUGGGGCGGUAGUACGUCCCAAGGGUUGGGCUGUUCGCCCAUGAAAGCGGUACGCGAGCUGGGUUCAGAACGUCGUGAGACAGUUCGGUCCAUAUCCGGUGUAGGCGUUAGAAUAUUGAGAGGAGCCUUCUUUAGUACGAGAGGACCGAGAAGGACAUACCUCUGGUGUACCAGUUAUCGUGCCAACGGUAAACGCUGGGUAGCUAUGUGUGGAGUGGAUAACCGCUGAAAGCAUCUAAGUGGGAAGCCCACCUCAAGAUGAGUGCUCUCACAGGGUUAACCUGGUAAGGUCACGGGAAGACCACCCGUUAAUAGGCACUAGGUGGAAGUCCAGUAAUGGAUGGAGCCAAGGUGUACUAACAGACCGAGGGCUUGACC